AGUGGCAUUUCCACCCAGGUCUCCCCUUCAUGUCUCAUGCUGAGCUGGUGCCAGGGAAGGCUGAAGGAGGACAGCAUUUCUCAUCCUUUCUAUUGCUUCUCUUUGGAGCCUCCUAGUGGCUCCCAGCUGUGGCAGGACAAACGGUAGCCCAUCUGAGAGGUUAGGAAACUCAGGCCAUAGCAAGCAGGAAGGGCCCUCAGCAAUAUGCACUGGGGGGACAAAGCUGGGAGACCACCACUCAGGGGUGCCACCAUCAUCAUUUCUGUCCUUUAGGCACAGGUGGCAUUGUCCUGCUUGGCUCUCUUUCCUGGGCUAGUGCCUUUUCUGGGCUUGAGUUGGGAGAAGAGGGCGGCUGGUGGGAGGGGUACCGGGUUGGCCUGGAUGUCCUGGGCUAUCUCCCCAGGGAUCAUGAGCUGAAGGGUUUUAUUCUGGGUCAUUACCUCUUCAGGUCUAGCUGCGAGUGGGUGGGGUGAGAAAAAAAAAAAAA
This 487-nucleotide long non-coding RNA is filed under the name Rattus norvegicus (Norway rat). RNAcentral's name for it is "long non-coding RNA NONRATT019926". The record is from RNAcentral. Lineage: Eukaryota; Metazoa; Chordata; Mammalia; Rodentia; Muridae.